This is a non-coding RNA of Physcomitrium patens, 2204 nucleotides long. The record is from RefSeq and is a predicted model, not a curated record. Lineage: Eukaryota; Viridiplantae; Streptophyta; Bryopsida; Funariales; Funariaceae.
AGUCUUCCAGCCAUGCAGCAGCCAGUCAGCCAGGGUGGGGGGUGGAAUGAAAGAGUUACUGUGGUGGCAAAUCAAUGAGUGCCCCUCCCCCUUCACUCAGGAAUUGACUCCUUCAUGGGAAUGAUAGGAGGCUGCGGAGUGUAAUUGCACAUGUGCUUGGGGCUGAGAGUGGGUGGGGGUGGGCUUGAUGAGAGUGCAGCCCCCCCACAUGGCCUCAUAGGAGCAGCAACAUCUAAUACAGCAAAGUGGGUGGUGUGAGCCUGUCUGUCUUACAUACUGUCACCUGUAUCAGAGCAGGAGAUGGAGACACGUGGAAUCUGGCAAGUGGAGGCUCCCACUGUGUCAACAACAAUCUGUCCACUCGUGAUGGAUGAUAAUGUGACCAUAUGGGUGGAUGGAUGGAUGGCUUGCAUUCCCAGGAGAAGAAGAGUGGUCAGAGCAUUGACAAGCACCCCACCCCACCCCCUGUUCUGGAAAUAAUACUCGAGGACGACCUGAUUUGGUGCCAGAGUAUUAGCAGGCAUUGAUUCAAACCCCUAACCAGCCUUCUUGUCAGCCUUCUUCUUUGUCUUCUUCUCCAUUUUUUUCCCCUAGUCUUGGGGCUUGUGCCUGCCCUUGAAUGAGUCCCAUCAAACUGGGAAUUAGGGUUGGCUUUGCCAUCCCAAAAGAAUGUGUUUGCUGAAACAAUGGGCCUUGAUAACUGUGAUUGUUACAGAGUCCUCUUUGUGCUUAUAUCCAAAGCUGGAUUAAUAUCUAAUUCUGCUACAGUUGUGUGCCAUAACCUUCACAAAUGAUUCUAAGAGUAACACAUACAUGUCCACCUCAUCCCAAAGAAAAGAAAUAGAACUAAAAUAAAUAUACAGAUUGCACUGACUUAUGGGUCUGAAUGUUUGUCUCAUGCAUGGAGUGAAAAGGGGGGUAGCUUCUCAUCAACAUCCCCCUCACCUCUACAUGCAAAUACAAAGACCACAUGAAAUUGAUGCCCUCUUCCCUCUCUAUCCAUGAACAUCUUGCUGGUGGCAUCACUGUAAAAGGGGGUUGUGACCCAUAGCCAUAGCCAUAGCCAUCACAACUAAGGCCCCAUAAAAAAAAUCCACCCACUGCAUGGAUGGUCCAAGGAACCCUAACACUUCACAGAUUUACAAUGGUAAGACCUAAUGGCAUGUCUGGAUGUCUGGUCACAUCCAGAUACAGGGUGAGAGAAUAUUUUUAAAUAUGCAUGGAGUACAAUGUAUGGCAAACAUUUGCAAAUUGGACACACACACACACACACACACACACAGUGAUUCAAAUUCUCUUACACUUUGCAGUCUCACCAGCCAGUUAUUGCAUCUUUCCAUCAGUUUUCUGACGCUGGAUAAGUGCCCAGAUCGCCCCUGGCUUUGGGCACUCCAUGUGAAUAGGACAACGGUUAUAGAAACCGCAUGGAAAAUAUCGCGGUCCUAUGACCGGUGAAGAGGGACCCGUCGUUGAAGUCUGCUUUGUUGCGAUUUUGCUCCACGACGGGGGAUUUCGCUGCUCCGAGAGCUUCCAAAUUUGCAAAAUCUCACGUGAGAUACAAACUGGGUCGUUUAAUUUACGGUGGAAAUUUCCACUCUCUUCAAUGCCCAAGAGCGGCGCCAUCUGUUCUGCGGCGGAUCGCAGCGUUAUGGUUUAGUCGAAGAUGCGGAGGAGGGGGGGAUCGGCCGCAUCGGAGAUGAUGGUAGUGGCCCCAGAGGAGCAGCGGUGGGCGUUUCUGUCUUGUGGGAGUCAAGAUAUUGGAGAGAAGUCGACUUCGUCGUGUUUUGACGAGCGCUGGUGAGAUUCCAUCAAAGAUCCGGAUGCAGAGGCGGCUGGUUUGCGCGUUGUGCUGGUUGUCCAUCUGGCUGUCAAUCGUUGCGAUCGUUACCACUGCGUCCGGUUCUCCCUCCUCACCGAAGAAAUUAUCGUCGUCGUUUAGGACACGCCUCGGUUGUGUCCUUCCUGGAGGUGGCGACCGAGAUGCGCUCACCUGUUGCUAUGGGUGCCUUAGAUCUCAAUAGCGUUAACUAUUCAGUUACAAAAAUCACUUUCUUAUUUCCAAAGCUUCCUUUCUGUCUUCCAAGAUGGAUGGGAAAAAAGAUGAGUAAACCCAGUUUCGUUAAAAGACUCAUCCAACUGUCACUAUUUUAUUAUUAUAUUUUAAGAAAUUAUAACCUUCUAUCAACUUCUUUGGCCUGAAUAAA